GAAGAGCUGCCUGGGCUGCAGCCGCGGAAGCUGCGUUCUGGGGAGCGGGGAGCGUGCUCCGGCGCCUUCGGGCCGCUGCUGGAAGCCGGAACCGAGCCCGGGCCGCUGCCCCUCACCGGACGCCGCGCGCCACCGGCCCUCCGCGGGGCAGGGGCUGCUGCGAGCUCGCCGGGCGCCCUUUAGACGUAAGUCUCACCCUGCGCCCCGAGGCAGGAAGGAGCGCGUGCAGUCCCGGCCAGAAACGGCUAAUAGGAAGGGCUGAGGGGUUCUGUGUUCAAGGCAGAAGGCCGUGCGUCAGGGCGGCCCUCAGCGGAGAUGCGUGCACGGAGCGGGGAGCGCCGCUCGGGGCAGGGAAUGAAAGCGGCGCUUGAGACUGGAAAUUUAGGGAGAUGAGUUCCUUGGGAACAACGCUGAACCAUCUCACUGCCCCACCCUACCCCUUGUUAUUUUUUUUUGAGACAGGUCUCGCGCUGUCGUCCAGUCUGAGUGCAGUGACGCGAUCACGGCUCACUGCAGCCUCGACCUCCGGGGCUUACGGGUCAUCCCACCUCAGCCCUCUAAGUAGCUGGCACCACGGGCAUGCACCACCACACCCGGCUAAUUUUUUAAAAAAAGUUUUUCCGGAGAUAGGGUCUCGCUGUGUUACCCAGGCUGGUCUCGAACCCCUGGCCUGAAGCGAUCCUCCCGCCUCGGCCUCCCAAAGUGCUGGGAUUACAGGCGUGAGCCACUGCGCUCGGCUUUUCACCCCUUUCUAACGUUUUCCAUCCCUUUCUAACGUUUUCCAUACCCAGCGGUGCCCUGCCCACCCUCUCUUUAUCUCUCACUUUUCCCUCCUCUGUUUCUUCCUCGCUGAAGUCCAUUGGUGAAAGAAAAUUCAUGUGAAAGUUCUCAGAGUCGUCCUUGUCUACUCCACUACCAAAUGUUGAAGUUCUUCAAGAAUCAGUCCUUUGGAGGUGAUGUCAUUGAAAAUGAUGAGUAGGAAACUCCAAGAGCGCAUUUCUCCACAAAACCAGUGAAUACAUUGGCACAAAUUGUCAGAAUCAAUUUUAUAUAAAUUCUGGAAAUUAGUCAAAGGUUUAUAGUAACCAAGGAAACAUCUUUUUAAAAAGAUGGCUGAGGCUGGAUGCUGUGGCUUAUACCUGUAAUCCCAGCACUUUGAGAGGCCAAGGCGAGCAGAGCAUUUGAGUCAGGAGUUAGAGACCAGCAAAAAAAUUAGCUGGGUGUGUUUGCGGGCACCUGUAAUCCCUCAGGGAGGCUGAGGCAGGAGAAUCGCUUGAACCUGGAAGAUGGAGGUUGCAGUGAGCCAAGAUCGUGCCACCUCACUCCAGCCUGGGUGAUAGAGUGAGACUCUGUCUCAAAAAAAAAAAAAAAAAAAAGUCUGAAUCCUGAAUCUCAGGAGCGCUUUCUAUCAUUUAAACUUACCCUGGUGCCACCUCCCUGUCCAGCUUUGAAAACAACGACAUGCAUUUCUGAUAUCUGUUCCUGGUGCCAAAGGGAGCAGGAUGGCCUUGUUUUCUUUUCUUCUUUCUUUUUUUUUUUUGAGAUGGAGUUUUGCCCGUGUUGCCCAGGCUGGAGUGCAGUGGCGCAAUCUCGGCUCACAGCAACCUCCGCCUCCCGGCUUCAAGCGAUUCUCCUGCCUCAACCUCCCGAGUAGCUGGGAUUACAGGCACUUGCCACCAUGCCUGACCAAUUUUUGUAUUUUUAGUUGAGACGGGAUUUUGCCAUGUUGGCUAGGCUGGUCUCGAACUCCUGACCUCAGGUGAUCCGCCCACCUCAGCCUCCCAAAGUGCUGGGAUUACAGGCAUGAGCCACUGUGCCUGGCCGUGGACCUUCUUUUCAAAGAAUUAUGGAGGCUUAUUUUAGUUCCCCUAACUUGGAAAUCUCCUGAGGAAGAAAGGUGACUACAGGCAUUUGUCAAAAAUUUGUAAAGGCAAGUUUAUUAGCCUCUGCCAUCGGGGGCAAAGAAUAAUAGCUAAGGCAAACAAUAGACACACCAAAAAGCCUGGGAGGAAAAGCUGGAAAGUAAGAUAUUUUGGAGAAUAAAGGCUUUUAAAACUUCCACAUAUUCUUGGGAAUCCAAAAGGCCACAUGUACAUGCAGGGUGAGCAAAUAGAGAAGACUUGAGAAAGCCUUAAACUCUCACCUCUGGCUAACCAUCAGGCUUGCUCAAAUAGGAAGUGAAAACUAAGGUGAAUUUGUUGCUUAGCUGAAUGUUGAAGGUGUGCCCCAACACUUACACAGAGCCUACUGGUAAAGACUGAGAGUGUUUUCUUUUUGUCUUGGUUUCAGGCAUUUAAGGAAAUCUGUUUCUCUUUUGGAUCACUAGCUGCAAAUUAAGCUAACAGAACAGGAGCUCAGCUGGUCACACACAGCAACGAAUACAGACUUUAUAAAGUUCAGAAAAGUUACCAAACAGUGGUAACCAUAACAAGUACCAACAAUGAACUAUGGGGAGGGAGGAGAAUCUGAUUUCCAGAGUUACCACAUUAUAAUACUAUUCAAAAUGUCACAUUUUUAGCAAAGAUUACAUGACAAGGAAAAACCAGAAAAGUAUGGCCCAUACACAGGUAAAAAAAGAAAUUAAUAGAAACUACCCCUGAAGAAGCACAGACUUCGGAUGUACAAAACAAAGACUUUUCAUCAACUCUUUUAGAUAUGCUAGAAGAGCUAAAGGAAACCAUGGACAGAGAACAAAAAAAUUAGGAAAGCAAUGUCUCAUCCAAUACAGAAUAUCAAUAAAGAGAUUGAAAUUGUAGAAAAGAACCAAAUAGAAAUUCUGGAGUUGAAAAGUAUUAUAACUAAAACUGAAAAUUCACUAGAGGUAUUCAGCAGCAGACUGGAGAAGUCAGAAGAAAGAAUCAACAGGCUUCAAGAUAGGUCAAUUAAGAUUAUACAGUCUGAGGAGCAGAAAGGAAAAAGAAUGAAGAAAAAUGAACAGAGCAUAAAAGACCUCUGGGACUCUAUCAAGCAUACCAGUAUAUGCAUGAGGGGAGUCCCAGAAGGAGAAGAAAGAGAGAAAGGGACAUAAUAUUUGAAGAAAUAAUGGUAGAAAAUGUCCCAGCUUUGAUGAAAUACAUGAAUCUAGAUAUUCAAGAGGCUCAAAGAACCCUAAAUAGGGUAAACUCAAAAAGACCCACACCGGAAUGCAAAAGUGAGCUGGGUGUGGUGGCACGUGCCUGUGGUCCCAGCUACUCGAGAGGCUAAGGCAGGAAAAUCGCUUGAACCCAGGAGGCAGAGAUUGCGGUGAGCCGGGAUUGCGCCAGUGCACUCCAGCUGGGCGACAGAGCGAGAUUCCAUCUCGAAAAAAAAAAAAAAAAAAAAAAAAAACUAUUGCUGCAGUCAUUCAGAUGGAAAUGGGGAAAGAAUAAUAUUAACUGAUUUCAAAAAGGACUUGAAGAUGUGAAUCAUCUAUUUUGCUGAAGAAAUCUUAACUCUUUGAAAUUACUUUUUGUUGCUGUUGUCAUACUCUUAGGUGCCAAACUGCGGUAAAUUUUUUAUCAGUGAAGUGGAAGCAUGUGUUUUGUUGUUUUGGGAAUUUUUAUCAAGUAUCUUCAGAGAAGAUUAUUUCCUGCUUUAUCUUCAAAAACUGGAAAGGAAGGGUCAAAGAAAAGACAGUAGCUGGCCGGUCAUGGUGGCUCAUGCCUGUAAUCCCAACACUUUGGGAGGCUGAGGUGGGCAGAUCACCUGAGGUUGGGAGUUCGAGGCCAGCCUGACCAACGUGGAGAAAUGCCAUCUCUACUAAAGAUGCAAGGAUUGGCCGGGCGUGGUGGUGCGUGCCUGUGAUCCCAGCUGCUCAGGAGGCUGAGGCAGGAGAAUCGCUUGGACCUGGGAGGUGGAGGUUGCGGUGAGCUGAGAUCACGCCAUUGCACUCCAGCCUGGGCAACAAGCGAAACUCUGUCUCAAAAAAAAAGAAAAGACAGUAGCUUAUGUUCAUGUCAAGCACCUCUCAUCACAGUCUAGUUCCAAGGAAAAAAUUCCCAGCGUUUUCUACAUUCGGUGCUGCGUCAUCUGAAAUCGGCACAUUCCAUGGAGGAAGGAGUCCUGCUUUGUUGCAUGUAUCCUAGGGUUUAAUGUUGGUAAAUGAGUCACUCUAGCAUUUGUAGAAGGCUCCCUGAGACUCCUGCAGCAGUCGACCAAGCCCAAGGACAUAAUUGAAUCUGGAGAGUCCUGGGGCCUUGUUUUGAAAAAGACUUGAAAUACACAUAGGAAGAAAGGCAUAAAAAUAAAUGUUCACUUGUCUCUGCUGUGAGUAUGUGUUCCAACUUUUCAGUGAUGGCUUUGAGAAUUCUCAAACUUGACUGGCUCUAAGUGUAUCUGGUGGCUUUUGUAUCGUAACCUGAAACUGGCUUAGUACUUUUUCCUAAAAGCUCAGGAUUUGAGAAUGAGGACCCCUUCGCCAGGAAAACAUGUAUACACUCAAAAUUUUGCUUGCAGUUCUAGGGUGUUUAGACCUUUCUCAGAUACCUGUGCAUCUUAUGGGUUUUGUUUUUCUCUUUGAGACAGUCUCACCCUGUUGCCCAGGCUGGAGUGCAGUGGCAUGGUCUCAGCUCAUUGCAGCCUCCGCCUCCUGGGUUCAGGUGGUUCUGCCUCAGCCCCUUGAUCGGCUGGGAUUGCAUGCAUGUGCCACCAUGCCCGGCUCAUUUUUGUAUUUUUAGUGGAGAUGGAGACAGAGUUUCACCAUGUUGGCCGGGCUGGUCUUGGGCUCCUGACCUCAGGUGAUCCGCAAGCCUGGGCCUCCCGGGGUGCUGGGAUUACACGCGUGGGCAACUGCGCCCAGCCCUUGUGUACCUUAUGUGAGGAAGUCCUGCUCAAUCAGGAUCGGUCACGCAGGCCCUGAUCUUGCUACUCUGGUUCCAUGUCCUAUGGAAGACCAAAGUUUACCAAGAUAGAUUUUUCCCUUCAUAGUGGCAGAUACUGUUAACCCCUGCACCAUCUAUAACUCAGAAAUCCCCACCAUUUCUUCCCCUGGGCUUCAGAAUAGAAUUGCCUGGUUUCUCUGAUGAUCAGCACACUUCCUUAAAACCCAAAUCAGCAAGGAAUGAACAAUUUUGUUUGGCAUGGAUGAAAUUAGCACUGUUUGGCUCGGUAGGCCCCAGACAGGCAGGCACCUUAAUUUUUUCCUUGCAUAUUCUAGUCUUCAGAAGCAUUGCCUUUUGUCCUACUGGUAGUGACAUAGAUCAAUAACAGGGCAUCUGGGGAUUUUAAUCCUGAAAACAGUGAGUCUGAUACUGCUUGUGUUUUUCAUCAGUGUCCACCCCGAGUGGGUCUUCCUGCUAUUCUCUUCACUUAGUUGCCCCUCACUUGCCAUCUGAGCAAUUGGCAAGGAUGUGCCAGGCCUAGGUUAAACUUGGAAACAUGCUUGACCAUUCUAUUCCCUGGUCCUUUAAGAUCAGUUUGGCUGCAAUUUUGGCUCCUUGGACCCUCAAGCAUAGCUGGUAAAUCAAGUUAGAGAUGUAACUGCCUUAAAACGUGCCAGCUUAGGCUGGGCGCGGUGGCUCACGCCUGUAGUCCCAGCACUUCGGGAGGCUGGGGCAGGCGGAUCACCUGAGGUCAGGAGUUCGGGACCGGCCUGACCAACGUGGAGAAAUUCUGUCCCUACUAAAAAUGCAAAAUUGGCCGGGUGUGGUGGUGCAUGCCUGUAAUCCCAGCUACUUGGGAGGCUGAGGCAAGAGAAUUGCUUGAACCCAGGGAGGCGGAGGUUGCAGUGAGCCGAGAUCACGCCAUUGCAUUCCAGCUUGGGCAACAAAAGCAAAACUCUGUCUCAAAAAAAAAAAAAAGUGCCAGCGUAUGAGGUAAUUAGAUUGGUUCUCUCCAGAGGUAACCUGCCAAGAAGAGAUGCUAUAGAUGUUACUCAUAUACUGUAAAACAUUGUGAAAUCAGAUUACUUUAAAAUGAUGUAUUACAAAGUUUUGCAAAAAAGCAGUUGUGACUGUGGAAGCCCAAGGCUUAUAUCCCAGCUCUGUCUUACACUAAAUAUGGGUAGAGUGUUUCCACUCUGUCCAUAAAAUGGGAGCUAAUAUUCUCCAACCUGUGUGCCUGACAUGAUGGUUAAAAGGAUUAAACAAAACAAUAGUUUGUAAUUUAUUCUGUCAGAGCACACUGCUGGUAAAUAAAAGGGAGUAAGUUGACUAAAACUAAAUUUAAAAAAAAAUCCUAAUAAAACAAGUUUGUAAUUUAUAAUUGUAUACAAAUAAAAGAUGUUACAAAAAAAAAAAAGACCCACACCAAGACACAUCAUAAUUAAACCGUCAAAAGUCAAUGACAAUCCUGCAAGCAGCAAGAGAGAAGCAAUUCCUCACGUACAAAGGAUUCUCAAUAAGAUUAAUAGCUGACUUCUCAUUAGAAACCACAGAGGCCAGGAGGCAGAGGCAGUGGGAUGAUAUAUUCGAAGUGCUGAAAGAAAAAACUGUCAAGAAUUCUGUGUCCAGCAAAACUAUCCUUCAAAAAAAAAAAAAAAAAGUGAAGGAGAAAUUAAGACAUUCACAGAUAAGCAAAAACAGAAAGAGUAUCUCACUAGUAGUCCUGCCUUACAAGAAAUACUAAAAGGAUCCUUCAGCCUGAAAUGAAAAGACACUAGACAGUGAUUCAGAUCCACAUGAGGAAAUAAAAAACACUGAAAAAGAUUUAAAUACAUAGGUAGAUAUAAAUGAAAGCAAUAAUUAUAUCUGUGUCAAAGCACAAUGUAUAAAGGUGAUUCAUGAUGAGGAAAAGAUGAAGUAUAGGAGCAAAAAUUUUGUGUACUAUUGAAACUAAGUUGGUAUUUAUUUGAAAUAGAUUGUUAUAAAUGAAAGUUAAUUGUAAUCCCUAGAGCAACUACUAAGAAAAUAACUAAAAAUUUUGGAAAGGGAAUAAAAAUGGUAUGCUAGAAAAUAUCUAAUACAAAAAAGGCAUAAGGGAGGAAUUGAGGAAGACAUAGGGAAAACAAAUAGCAAGGGGCAAUGUCCUUCCUACUAAUUACAUUAAAUGUGAAUGCCUUAAAUUCCAUUUAACAGAUGGAGAGAUUGGCAGAAUGGAGUCUUUUAAAUGUUCUAACUAUAUCCUGUUUACAGAAGACUGACUUUAGAACCAAAGACACAAACAUGUUGAAAGUGAAAGGGUGUCACCUUAGUUUUCUUUCUUUUUUUUUUUUUUUGAGAUGGAGUUUCACUCUUUUUGCCCAGGCUGGAAUGCAAUGGCGUGCUUGGCUCACCACAACCUCCGCCUCCUGGGUCCAAGCAAUUCUCCUGCCUCAGCCUCCUGAGUAGCUGGGAUUACAGGCAUGCGCCACCACGCCCAGCUAAUUUUGUAUUUUUUAGUAGAGAUGGGGUUUCUCCAUGUUGGCCAGGCUGGUCUUGAACUCCCAACCUCAGGUGAUCUGCCCGCCUCGGCCUCCCAAAGUGCUGGGGUUACAGGCUGAGCCACCGCGCCCGGCCAGCACCUUAGUUUUCUUGUGCUGCCGUAACAGAAUACCUGAGACUGGGUAAUUUAUAUAGAGCAGAAAUUUAUUUUCUCACAGUUUUGGAAUCUGAGAAACUCAAAAUUACGACAUUGGCAGGUUUGGUUGUCUGGUAAGAGCUGCUUUCUGCUUCCAAGAUGACACCUUAUUGCUGCAUCUUCUAUAGGGGAGGAAUGUUACAUCCUCAACGUGGCAGAAGGUAAAAGGGCAAAAAGGAAUGAAAUUCCUCAUCAGGCCCUAAGUUAAGGGCACCUAAUCUCAUUCAUGAGGGGAGGAGCCCUCAAGACUUAACCACCUCUUACUGGCUGGGCGCAGUGGCUCACGCCUGUAAUCCCAGCACUUUGGAAGGCCGAGGCGGGUGGAUCACAAGGUCAGGAGAUAGAGACCAUCCUGGUCCUAGUAGAGACACGGUGAAACGCGGUCUUUACUAAAAAUACAAAAACAAGAUUAGCCGGCCGUGCUGGCGGGCGCCUGUAGUCCCAGCUACUUGGGAGGCUGAGAUGGGAGAAUGGCGUGAACCUGGGAGGCGGAGCUUGCAGUAAGCCGAGAUUGCGCCACUGCACUCCAGCCUGGGCGACAGAGCAAGACUCCGCCUCAAAAAAAAAAAAAAAAAAAAGACUUAACCACCUCUUAAAAGUCCCACCUCUUAAUACCAUCAUGUUGGCCAUUAAGUUUAAAUAUCUGAAUUUUGGAGGGCACACAUUCAAACCAUAGCAAGUGGAAAAAGACAUUCCAAGAUAUCUCAGGUUCACAUGGAACAUUCUUCAGAAUAAAACAUGUUAGUCCACAAGUCUCAGUUUUAAAAGAUUGAAUUACAAAGUGCCUUCUCUGACUACAAUGGAAUAAAACUGAAAAUAACACACCCUUAAACAACCAAUGGAUCAAAGAAAGAUUAAAUCACAAGAGAAAUCAGAAAAUACUUUGAGAUGAAUAAAAACAAAAAUGCAGCACCCUAAAACGUUUGGAAUGCAGCAAAAGCAGUGCUCAAAGGCAAUUUUAUAGCUGCACAUGCCUACAUUAAAAAAUACCUAGAAUCAGCAACCUAACCUUCCACCUUCAGGAACUAGAAAAAGAAGAGGAAAUCAAACCCAAAGCUAGCAGAAGGAAGGAAAUAGUAAAGACUGGAGUAGAGAUAAAUGAAAUAUACAGUAGAAAAUAGAAUCCACAAAACCAAAAUUUGGUUGUUUGAAAUAAUAAUGUUCACAAACCCUUAAAAAGACUGAGCAAGACAAAAAGAUUCAGGUUACUAAAAUCAGGAAUAAAGUGGGGACAUUACUGCCAAUCUUACAGAAAUAAAAAGGAUUGUAAGGAAAUACUAUUAACAAUUAUAUGCUAACAAAUUAGAUAACCUAGAUAAAAUGGACAAAUUCCUAGCAGCACACAAACUACCAAAACUAACUCAAGAAAAAACUAAACCUAUAACAGUACUAGUUAAAAAAAAAAAAAGUAAACCAGUUAAAAACAAAAAACUUCCAAGAUAGGAAAGAUCAAACCAUGUGGCUUUACUGGUGACGUAAAGUAUUUUAAGAGUGCCAGUCCUUCUCAAACACUUAAAGUAGGGGAAGAGGGAAUAUCUUAACUCAUUAUAUGAUGCCGGCGUUACCCUGGUACCAAAUCCAGACAAAGACAUCACAAGAAAAUAAAACUACAGUCCAAUAGUUCUAAUGAAUAUAGAUGCAAAGAUCCUCAGCCAAAGUGAAUCCUGAAGCACAUUACAAGGAUAUCCACAAACAAAACUGUUAGAGCUAAUACCUCAAUAUCACAGGAUGCCCAGGAUCAACAUACAAAAAUUAGUUAUAUUUCUGUAUCCUUGCAAUGAACAUUUCAAAGUGAAAUGAAGAAAACUCAUUUACAGUAGUAUCAAAAAGAAUAAAAUACUAAUAAACAAGAUGUAAGACUUACACACUGAGAACUACAAAACAUAGUUGAGAGAAAUUUAAAAAGACCUAAAUAAAUAGGCAUUUUAUGUUCACGUAUUAGAAGACUUUGAAAAUGGCAAUACUCCCCCAAUUAACCAACAGAAUCAGUGAAAUUCCUAUGAAAAUUCCAACUGCCAUUAAUGUAGAAAUGGGCAGGUUGAUCCUAAAAUUCAUAAGAAAUUGCAAGGAUGUGGCCAGGCGCGGUGGUUCAACGUCUGUAAUUCCAGCACUUUGGGAGGCUGAGGCGGGCGGAUCACGAGGUCAGGAGAUAGAUACCAUUCUGGGUAACACGGUUAAACCCCGUCUCUACUAAAAAUAAAAAAAAAAAAAGUGUAGCCGGGCAGGUGGUGGGCGCCUGUAGUCCCAGCUACUGGGGAGGCUGAGGCAGAAGAAUGGCAUGAACCCAGGAGGCAGAGUUUGCAAUGAGCCGAGAUCGCGCCACUGCACUCCAGACUGGGUGAGAGAGCUAGACUCCAUCUCGAAAGAAAAAAGAAAAUGAAAAAAAGAAAUUGCAAGGAUGCCAAAACAGUCUUGGAAAAGAACAAAGUUAGAAGACCCACAUUUUGUGAUUUCAAAAUUUACCACGAAGCUACAGUAAUCAAAAGAGUGUGGUACUGACAUAAGGAUAGAUAUGUAGGCCAAGAAAACAGAAUUGAGAGCCCAGAAGUAAGCCUAUACAUCUGUGGUCAAUUGAUUUUUGACAAAGGUGUCAAGAUAGAUCACUGGGGAAUAGAAUAGUAUUUUUAAGAAAUGCUGAGGAUACUGGGUAUCCACAUGUAAUAGAAUGGAUUUGGACCCUUACCUUACACCACAUGCAAACAUUAAGUCAAAAUAAAUCAAAUACCUAAAUAUAAGAAUGAAACUAUACAACUAUUAAAAGAAAAUAUUGGGGUAAGUCUACAUGACCUGGGAUUUCCCAGUGGAUUCUUAGAUAUGAUACCAAGAACUCAAGUAGCAACAUGAAAAAUAGAUACAACUGGGCUUGAUCAAAAUUUAAAACUUUACAUAUCAAAUGACACUAUCAAGAAAGAGAAAAGAGAACCCACUGAGUGAGAGAAAAUAUUUGCAAGUCGUAUACCUGGUAAAGCUCAAAUAACUCUUACAAGUCAUCAGUUAAAAGACGACCCAAGUUAAAAAUGGGCAAAGGACUUGAAUAGACAUUUCUCCAAGGGAGAUAUUCUAAUGGCCAAGUACAUGAAGAGAUGCUUUGCAUCAUAACCUUCCACCUUAAGGGAAAUGCAAAUCAAAACCACGAUGAGAUACCACUUUCUAUACUCACUAGGGUGCUAUUAUUAAAAGACAAGUGUUGGCAAGGAUGUGGAGAAAUUGGAAAGCUCAUAAAUUGCUGGCGGAAAUAUAAAAUGGUGCGUUCAUUAUAAAAUAGUUUGAUGGUUUAUCAAAAUUUUAAACGGAAUUAACAUAUAACCCAGCAGCUCUCCUAAAUAUAUACUCAAGAGGAUAGAAAACUAAUCAAACAAAAACUUCUGCAUGAGUGUGUAUAGCAGCACUAUAAUAGCCAAUAAGUAGAAACAACCCAAAUGUUCAUCAAUAGAUGAAUGGACAAAUUGUGGUAUAUUCAUAUAAUGAAAAACUACUCAGCCAUAAAAAGAAAUUAGGUACUAGUAUAUGUUGCAACAUGGAUCAACCUUGAAAGACCUUGCUAACUGAAAGAAAAGGCCACAUCUUACAUGAUUGUAUUUAUGUGAAACAUCUAGAAGAGGCACAUCCAUAGAGACAGAAAACAUUGGUGGAUGCUAGGGGUUAGGGAAAUGUAGAAGUGGGGAGUUGCUGCUUAAUGGGUUUCUUUUUUGAGUGAUGAAAAUAUUCAGAUUUAGGUAGUGGUGAUACUUGCAAACAUUGUGAAUGUACUGGAAGGCACUGAAUUGUACAGUAAAAUGGUUAAAAUGGUGAGUUUUAUGUCAUGUGAAUUUUACCCCAAUAAUACCUCAAUAAUAAUUUUUUAAAAGUAGCCCCUCUCUUAGUCCAUUUUGUGCUGCUCUAACAGAAUACCCGAAACUUUAUAAAGAACAAACGUUGGCCGGGCACUGUGGCUCACGUCUGUAAUCCCAGCACUUUGGGAGGCCGAGGUGGGCAGAUCACGAGGUCAGGAAUUAAGACCAGCCUAGCCAACAUGGUGAAACCCCGUCUCUACUAAAAAUAACAAAAACUAGCUGGGCGUGGUAGCACAUGCCUGUAAUCCCAGCUACUUGGGAGGCUGAGGCAGGAGAAUUGCUUAAACCCGGGAGGUGGGGGUUGCAGUGAGCUGCGAUCACGCCAUUGCACUCCAGCCUGGGCAACAGAGCAAGAGAUUCUUGUCUAAAAAAAAAAAAAAGGAACUAUAUUGGCCCACAUUUCUGGCAGUUGAGAAGUCCUAGAUGAAGGGGCCACAUCUAGUGAGGGCCUUCUUACUGCAUCGUAACGGUGGAAGGCAUCACAUGAUGAGAGAGAGAGCAAGAAAAGGUGCUUUUGUUACAAGCCCAUUCCAUUAUAAUGAACCCACUCCCAUGAUAACAAGCUAUUCAUGAGGACAGAGCCAUCAUGACCUAUUCUCUAAUUAGGCCCUACCUCCCGACACUGUUGCAUUGAAGAUUAAUUUUCCAACACAAGAACUUUGGGGGACACAAUCCAUAGCAGUCCCUCUCUUCACUAAUUUCUUUCCAUGAAUUCUUCCACUCCCCUGACUUUUGUGUGUAGUUACCAUCUAUACACAGAUGCUUCACUAGAGGCAGUUUGUAUCUCCAACCCACAUCUUUUUUUUGAGUUCCAGAUGUGAAUAUCCUGCUGUUUACUUACCUACCACCUCCACACAUAGCUUCAAAUGCAACUUUGAAAUAUAAAACUGAGUUCAUUACCUUUUCUCCUAAAUUUGAUUAUCUGUGAAUGCUUUCUGUCUCACUAAAGAUAGCUUCCAGUCAUUGAGAGUUUGCUGUAUGUUUGGACUAAAGUGUUAAUCCAUUAAUUUACUUAAUCCUCACAAGAACCUCAGAUAAUACUAUUUUCCAUUUGCAGUGAGAAAGUUGAAAGGUAAAAUAACUUAUUGAAAUCACACACCUUUUAAGGAAAGGCUAGCCCUCAACAAAGGCAGCCUGACUUUUCAGAGCCUAUGUUCUUAAUGCCAUUGCUAUACCAUCCUCUAACUUUUUCUAGAGACCUAGAAGUCAUCUUUGUCACUUCUCUCCUUUACAUGCUUUAUCAAGUUGAUCAUGAGGUCCUAUUGAUUUGACUUCCUAAAUAACUCUCACUCCAUCCAGUUCAUUUCAUCUGCUACCACCAGCCUUAUUCAAGCAACCAUCUUUUGUCUAUACAAUGGCCUCUUAACUAACCUCCCAUAUUCACUGACAACAACCUAAUAAAAAUAUUUAUAAAUAUAAAUUUGUAUCUUACAGGUAGGGAAUUUAUAUUCUUCUCUUAUUAUGCCCAAGGAAUAUUUCCAAAUAUUAAUCAUAAGAUUGAUCACCUAGAAAACCUUAGUGAAUCAUGAAAAGUAGAAAUCUUAAGAGCUGCUUUUCAGAUGAUAGUGCAAUAAAACCUAAAGUCAACAAAGGUUGUUUUUGUUUCUUGAUGAUUUUAACUGUUGGUUUACUAUCAGUCUCUCCAACACUCCUGCCUUAAUUCUUGGUGAUUUUAAUAUGCACAUCAAUGAUCUUUCCAAUAUCUUGACCUCCAGCUUCUUGGACACCUCUUUUCAUUCCACUUCAGCCACUCCUUUGGUCAUUCCCUAGUUAGAUCUGCUUAUUACCAUUAACUGCAAACUCAAUUAUCUCAACUUCAUGCAUCCACCUUUCUGGCUGCCACAUCCUGUCUUUCCAGCUUUCCCCUCUAGAUCCCUAGCUCCUCAUAAUUAUUUAUCUUUGUUGGUAAUUCUAAUCUAUUGAUUCUAUCACUGUUUCACUGCCCCUCACCCUUAUUUUCCUCCUCACUUGGCUUAAAUUCCAUAGCCAGUCAUUGAUUGGAUAUUCCUUUUACCCACUGACAAAACCGUAACCCUAAUCAUUACUUAUCUACUCCAUUCUUGCUCCCAUGUAGCUGAACAUGACUGGAAGAAAAAUGCAAGAGUUUCACUUUAAAUUCUUGAAGACAAACCUCAUGUGACCUCAAAAUGCUGCCAGUCAAUCAAAUUAUAUUUUCUCCAAGUUUAUUCACUUGUAGUCAGCUUGGGCUGCUACAAUAAAAUAUCAUAAAGUAGGUAGCUUGUAAACAACAGAUUGUCUUCCUUCUGGUUCUGGAGGCUGGGAAAUUCAUGAUCAAGGCACCAGCAGAUUUAGUGUCUGUUGAAGUCCAGCUUUGUGGUUCAUGGAUGGUGACUUCUCACUGUGAGAAGAUAUGGUGGAAGGAAAGAGGGGUCCUUUCUUGAGCCUCUUUUAUAAGGACACUAAUCUCAAUCAUGAGGACCACCCCCCAUAACCUAAUCACCCUCCAAACGUGAUUAGGCCUUCCAAUACCAUCACCUUGUGGGUUAGGAUUUCAACAUACGAAUUUUGAAGGGACACAAACAUUCAGAGCAUAGCACCCCCUUUUCCUGAAAUGAUUUUAUGUAAUGAUUUUAUGUAAUUGUCUCUUCUCGAAUAUCCAACACUCUAUUCCCAGUCUUACCCUCGAUGAUAACUCUUGUUCCUAUUUCCUGGAGAAAAUCAGAGCAAUCAGAAGAGAUCCCCUGCCACUAAAUCUAUCCUUCUAGCAGCUUGUGAACUCAUAUAAUUUUCUUUCCAGCCUGUUACCAUACAUAUAUGCAUGAUGUCCAUGCUCUCAUCUAAAAUCAGCCUCUGCUUGUGUACUAGAUCAGGGUUGACAAAAUGCAGCCUGUGGCCCAAAUCCUGCAUUUUGUUUUGUUUUUGUACAGCCCGUAAGCCAAGAAUAGUUUUUACUUUUUUUUUUUUUUUUUUUUUUUUGAGACAGUCUUACUCUGUUACCCAGGCUGGAGUGCAGUGGCACAAUCUUGGCUCACUGCAACCUCCACCUCCCGGGUUCAAGCGAUUCUUCUGCCU
This 14339-nucleotide long non-coding RNA is filed under the name Homo sapiens (human). RNAcentral's name for it is "non-protein coding WAC-AS1:16". The record is from RNAcentral. Lineage: Eukaryota; Metazoa; Chordata; Mammalia; Primates; Hominidae.